ACACUGCUGAGGAGUCCCCCAGUGGGACGAAACGGCCGUCCAGUGU
Molecule: non-coding RNA, 46 nt
Organism: Schistosoma mansoni
Lineage: Eukaryota; Metazoa; Platyhelminthes; Trematoda; Strigeidida; Schistosomatidae
Source: Rfam